GCACAACGCGAAGAACCUUACCCACCUUUGACAUGUACGGAAUCCUUUAGAGAUAGAGGAGUGCUCGAAAGAGAGCCGUAACACAGGUGCUGCAUGGCUGUCGUCAGCUCGUGUCGUGAGAUGUUGGGUUAAGUCCCGCAACGAGCGCAACCCUUGCCAUUAGUUGCUACGAAAGGGCACUCUAAUGGGACUGCCGGUGACAAACCGGAGGAAGGUGGGGAUGACGUCAAGUCCUCAUGGCCCUUAUAGGUGGGGCUACACACGUCAUACAAUGGCUGGUACAAAGGGUUGCCAACCCGCGAGGGGGAGCUAAUCCCAUAAAGCCAGUCGUAGUCCGGAUCGCAGUCUGCAACUCGACUGCGUGAAGUCGGAAUCGCUAGUAAUCGUGGAUCAGAAUGCCACGGUGAAUACGUUCCCGGGUCUUGUACACACCG
RNAcentral lists this ribosomal RNA (434 nucleotides) under uncultured bacterium. RNAcentral's name for it is "bacterial SSU rRNA". It matches the Rfam family "Bacterial small subunit ribosomal RNA", at positions 954 to 1392 of the family's 1533-position model. The record is from RNAcentral.